RNAcentral lists this ribosomal RNA (237 nucleotides) under uncultured bacterium. RNAcentral's name for it is "partial 16S ribosomal RNA". It matches the Rfam family "Bacterial small subunit ribosomal RNA", at positions 100 to 334 of the family's 1533-position model. The record is from RNAcentral.
CCGGCACGGGUGAGUAACACGUAUCCAACCUGCCGUCUACUCUUGGACAGCCUUCUGAAAGGAAGAUUAAUACAAGAUGGCAUCAUGAGUCCGCAUGUUCACAUGAUUAAAGGUAUUCCGGUAGACGAUGGGGAUGCGUUCCAUUAGAUAGUAGGCGGGGUAACGGCCCACCUAGUCUUCGAUGGAUAGGGGUUCUGAGAGGAAGGUCCCCCACAUUGGAACUGAGACACGGUCCGA